UAACGGAUUUCUUGUGUUUGGUACUAAAGCCUAACAGAGGACACAAUCAUAUACUAGUAUAGGCAACUUGCAUAUACAAAUAGCUUAAAAUAUCAAAUAAGUAUUGAAGACACUAAACUUCAAAUUAUUGUCUAGAUACAAUGUAAAAUCGCGAAAUGUAUUGCAAGUUUCGAAACCCGACCUUCCCCUUAAGUGACUCAAAAGUCGACCACAUAAACUUAAACCCCGAAACCAACAACAGUCUACUAGGGCGACUAAUUGGCAUAAAUCAAGGAAACACUGUCCGCCAUCUUAAAUCAUGUCUGCCGACAACCUCCAACAUUCUGUGCAAACAUGGCGACC
This 342-nucleotide long non-coding RNA is filed under the name Mytilus galloprovincialis (Mediterranean mussel). Lineage: Eukaryota; Metazoa; Mollusca; Bivalvia; Mytilida; Mytilidae. The record is from RNAcentral.